UACGUAGGUGGCAAGCGUUGUCCGGAUUUACUGGGCGUAAAGAGCGCGCAGGCGGUCGUUCAAGUCGCGUGUGAAAGCCCCCGGCUCAACUGGGGAGGGUCACGCGAUACUGAUCGACUCGAAGGCAGGAGAGGGUAGUGGAAUUCCCGGUGUAGUGGUGAAAUGCGUAGAUAUCGGGAGGAACACCAGUGGCGAAGGCGACUUCCUGGACCAGUACCGACGUUCAGGCACGAAAGCGUGCGAGCAAACAGG
Molecule: ribosomal RNA, 252 nt
Filed under: uncultured bacterium
Lineage: Bacteria
Description: partial 16S ribosomal RNA
Rfam family: Bacterial small subunit ribosomal RNA
Source: RNAcentral